CGUGGUAAGAACGUGGUAUGAUCGCAGUAAGAUCGUGUUGCAAUCGGAUAACUCGUGGUAUGGUCGUAGUGAGAACGUGAAGAGCGUAGAAAGAUCUUGAUAAGCGUAGAGAGGUCGCAGAAUAAGCGCAGUGAGAACGUGGUAUAAUCGUAGCGGGAUCUUUGUAGAAGCGUAGAGAGAACGUAGUAGCAUCGUGAAAGCAACGAAAAUUUACAUUUUCAUGCCGCUCAUACCGCGACCUCACCACGAUGUAAAUUUAUUU
Molecule: long non-coding RNA, 262 nt
Filed under: Mytilus galloprovincialis (Mediterranean mussel)
Lineage: Eukaryota; Metazoa; Mollusca; Bivalvia; Mytilida; Mytilidae
Source: RNAcentral